UACGGAGGAUUCAAGCGUUAUCCGGAUUUAUUGGGUUUAAAGGGUGCGUAGGCUGUGAGGUAAGUCAGCGGUGAAAUGCCCCCGCUCAACGGGGUGAAGUGCCAUUGAUACUGCCUUGCUGGAAUGCGGAUGCCGUGGGAGGAAUGUGUGGUGUAGCGGUGAAAUGCGUAGAUAUAAGGAAGAACACCAGUGGCGAAGGCGGAUGACUGGACGGCAACUGACGGUGAGGCGCGAAAGCGUGGGGAGCAAACAGG
Molecule: ribosomal RNA, 254 nt
Filed under: uncultured bacterium
Lineage: Bacteria
Description: partial 16S ribosomal RNA
Rfam family: Bacterial small subunit ribosomal RNA
Source: RNAcentral